GCGAGGCCCAGAGAGACUUAACUUCCCAAAGGAGGCCACAGAGCUAGCUCAGCCCUAAUGCCGGCCCCGCGGUGCCUUUCCGAACUCACGGCCUCCCCUCGGUAUCCGGGUUUCGGCCUUGGAGCGCCAGGAACGCCACGAGGACGCACCCCACACUUGCGCGUCUAGGUUCCAGUCCCCGCGGCUCCCAACAAAUAAAGAAGGGAAAGUCCUACGGGUGACGGCCCCGGGGAACGCCGCGGCUCUGCGUCAACCUGUGGCGGCCACCGACUCAUUUGGGGCCACGCUGGUUGCAUUCGUCACGCCGGGGACGCCUCUCUAACCCUUCCCACACCGGCGACAUGGGCGCGUCUGUGGCUCUCGAGAACCGGGUCGCGGAGCCCCCGCGAGGGCAGGCGAGGAACUGGCGACUGUGGGAACGAAAAGCUGCGGCUUGUAGUCCCCUUGCGACCCUCUAUUCUGGAAGAGGCCGGGCGCGGCCGCUGAGCUCCAGCUCUGCGCCAGCCCGGGCGGCUGCGCGCUCAGGGGCGUGGCGAGGGCGGGUCGUGAGUGGGGCGGGGUCCACAGGGCGUGCGCGACGAACCUGCGCGGUGCGUGGCGCGAAGGGGCGUGGCGCCAGUGGGCGUGGCGUGGCGUAAUGCGAAGAGUCGCGGUGCGGCAGCGCGUGAGGGCUGCGGCGGCUUCCCUAGAUUAGGCUUGGGAGGCAAGAGGAGGCCUCCUGACCUUUCACACUGCCUUUUUAAUAUUAAGAUGAAGGCACACUCCACAACUUACUUCCGGCCAGGCCCAGACGUGGCCGUCCUUGUAAGAUAAAAGCUUCCGUGGGAGCCUUCCUUCCUCAUCAAGCCUCGUGGUGGAACAUCGGACCCUUCAAGAGGAAGGAUGAAAGCUCUACAUAGGAACACGAUGUGAAUGGAAGAAACCUGUCAUUAUGCAAAUAAUACGACACUCU
This is a long non-coding RNA of Piliocolobus tephrosceles (Ugandan red Colobus), 952 nucleotides long. RefSeq lists it as uncharacterized. The transcript is spliced from 4 exons. The record is from RefSeq and is a predicted model, not a curated record. Lineage: Eukaryota; Metazoa; Chordata; Mammalia; Primates; Cercopithecidae.